UACGAGGGGUCCUAGCGUUGUUCGGAAUCAUUGGGCGUAAAGGGUGCGUAGGUUGCCAUUCAAGUCAGUUGUGAAAUCCCCGGGCUCAACCCGGGAAGUGCUUCUGAUACUGUUUGGCUUGAGUACUGGAGAGGGUAGUAGAAUUCCAGGUGUAGCGGUGAAAUGCGUAGAUAUCUGGAGGAACACCGGUGGCGAAGGCGCCCACCUGGCCUGCUACUGACGCUGAGGCUCGAAAGCUAGGGGAGCAAACGGGAUUAGAUACCCUGGUAGU
Molecule: ribosomal RNA, 271 nt
Filed under: uncultured bacterium
Lineage: Bacteria
Description: partial 16S ribosomal RNA
Rfam family: Bacterial small subunit ribosomal RNA
Source: RNAcentral